UUCACGAUAUAAUUCGUGAAGCGAAAGAUAUGAACCCUAGCGAUCAAAUCGGCUGGUACGUUAAGGGGUUACUACCACCUUUGCGCAGCCGGUGUGCGACAAGCGAAGAGGGCAAAGAUUGGGACAGCUUAGAUAAGCUAAUCCUUUACGCUGUUGGGCAAGAGGUUCGGUGGCAGUCGGGCAAAGACAAGCCUACCGUCCAUGCAGUUAGCGCUGACCUUAAUGCGAUCACUGCUAAAAAGCCCUUCAAUAAAUUUAAGCGUUCGUCCUCUGAUCGCAAUUCGCAGGGUUGGCAACCCGCCAAUCGGCCCAAGAAGGCGCGUCUGGAGCAAGAACAGCUGGCGGCACACACUUGCCGCAAAUGCCGUCGCGUGAAGCCCGCCCACCAGAGCUGGGCGGAGCACAAGCCCGACUGCAUUCGACACCUCAAGGCUAACGCCGAGAAGACGCUGUCCCUUGCCGCGAAGAUGGAGAAUGCCAUGGCUGAUUAGCGGGUCGGCAAGCGUGUUGUUGGGGGCUGUGAGCAACCGGAAUGUCCUAAGGACUCCGCUAACUUGCAAAUCAGAGAGUCCUUGUUGCCCGUUUGUGAUCCGCUUAGCUGUGAUCACAUGUACC
RNAcentral lists this long non-coding RNA (615 nucleotides) under Volvox carteri. RNAcentral describes it as "long non-coding RNA (VCAR_LNC003933)". The record is from RNAcentral. Lineage: Eukaryota; Viridiplantae; Chlorophyta; Chlorophyceae; Chlamydomonadales; Volvocaceae.